RNAcentral lists this ribosomal RNA (391 nucleotides) under uncultured bacterium. Its description in RNAcentral is "partial 16S ribosomal RNA". It matches the Rfam family "Bacterial small subunit ribosomal RNA", at positions 355 to 735 of the family's 1533-position model. The record is from RNAcentral.
UGGGGAAUUUUGGACAAUGGGCGAAAGCCUGAUCCCAGCAAUGCCGCGUGUGUGAAGAAGGCCUUCGGGUUGUAAAGCACUUUUUGUCCGGAAAGUAAAUCCUUGGCUCUAAUACAGUCGGGGGAUGACGGUACCGGAAGAAUAAGCACCGGCUAACUACGUGCCAGCAGCCGCGGUAAUACGUAGGGUGCAAGCGUUAAUCGGAAUUACUGGGCGUAAAGCGUGCGCAGGCGGUUUGCUAAGACCGAUGUGAAAUCCCCGGGCUCAACCUGGGAACUGCAUUGGUGACUGGCAGGCUAGAGUAUGGCAGAGGGGGGUAGAAUUCCACGUGUAGCAGUGAAAUGCGUAGAGAUGUGGAGGAAUACCGAUGGCGAAGGCAGCCCCCUGGGCC